Molecule: RNA transcript, 1155 nt
Organism: Piliocolobus tephrosceles (Ugandan red Colobus)
Lineage: Eukaryota; Metazoa; Chordata; Mammalia; Primates; Cercopithecidae
Gene: TMEM42
Gene name: transmembrane protein 42
Exons: 4
Source: RefSeq, a predicted model, not a curated record
GGCAACAUGGCCGAGAGGCCGCGGCCUCCGGGCGGCGCCGUGUCUGCGACCGCCUACCCCGACACCCCUGCGGAAUUCCCUCCGCACCUCCUGGCGGGUGCGAUGCGGCGCCGCUUUUGGGGCGUAUUCAACUGCCUGUGCGCCGGCGCGUUCGGGGCCCUGGCCGCCGCCUCCGCCAAGCUGGCCUUCGGCAGCGAGGCGGUAAGAGACGUCGGGGACUGAGGCCUCCUCCCUUACCAGGGACCUAAAACCUUUUCUCCGGUUGGGCUAGUUCGCUCUCAGGGAAGACCUACACCUCCUACAUCCACCCUCUACCUCUCAUUUUAAGUCCCUUGUGCCUGAACAUUUCUCUCCACGUGACUCUUAAGGUGAGCAUGGGUUUAUGCGUCUUAGGCAUUAUUGUGAUGGCGAGCACCAAUUCUCUGAUGUGGACCUUCUUUAGCCGGGGCCUCAGUUUCUCCAUGUCUUCAGCCAUUGCAUCUGUCACAGUGACUUUUUCAAAUAUCCUCAGCUCGGCCUUUCUGGGCUAUGUGCUGUAUGGAGAGUGCCAGGAGGUCUUGUGGUGGGGAGGAGUGUUCCUCAUUCUCUGCGGACUCACCCUGAUCCACAGGAAACUUCCACCCACCUGGAAGCCCCUUCCACACAAGCAGCAGUAGCACCACUUGGCUGAACGGACCAGCUGGAAAGAUCACGAUGGUGGCCCAGCCUUGGGAUGGCUUGUGGGAUUAUGUCCUACGGCGACCCAGUUGUGCAGCCUUCUGACCAUCAGCCAAGGGAAGCAGGCCUCUGACGGAGCAGGCUUGAGGGUGGACAACUCUGGCUCCUUAAGGAGAGGUGCAGCCGCAGCAAUGUUCUACUGGAAGCGUUUUGAUCAUCUGUACAGUGCUUUGGAUUCUUGCUCCCAGGCCCACCCCAGCGAGCCUUCACAGAUGCUGGAGAUCCUGGGGUUGGUCUGCUAUGUGUAUGGUACUUGAAACCACGCUGUAAUUAUCCUGUUGCCAAACAAAAGCCAGUCAUGUAACUAGAAGCAGUGACUGGUGGGGCCUUCUGACAAUUCCAUGCUGAUGUAUCAGGCCAUUUGUGUCAUGCUUAUGUAUUAUGGCAAGAAGAGGAAAACUGGGUGAAUAAAUACUUUUUUUUUGUAAGUUAAAACUA